RNAcentral lists this ribosomal RNA (253 nucleotides) under uncultured bacterium. RNAcentral describes it as "partial 16S ribosomal RNA". It matches the Rfam family "Bacterial small subunit ribosomal RNA", at positions 524 to 776 of the family's 1533-position model. The record is from RNAcentral.
UACGUAGGGUCCGAGCGUUGUCCGGAGUUACUGGGCGUAAAGCGCGCGCAGGCGGCCCGCGAGGUGUCACGUGAAAGCCCCGGGCUCAACUCGGGAGGGUCGUGGCAAACCGGCGGGCUUGAGGCCGGUAGAGGUGGGUGGAACUCCUGGUGGAGUGGUGAAAUGCGUAGAGAUCAGGAAGAACACCCGUGGCGAAGGCGGCCCACUGGGCCGGUGCUGACGCUGAGGAGCGAAAGCAUGGGGAGCGAACAGG